This 469-nucleotide ribosomal RNA is filed under the name uncultured Anaerolineaceae bacterium. RNAcentral's name for it is "bacterial SSU rRNA". It matches the Rfam family "Bacterial small subunit ribosomal RNA", at positions 896 to 1382 of the family's 1533-position model. The record is from RNAcentral. Lineage: Bacteria; Bacillati; Chloroflexota; Anaerolineae; Anaerolineales; Anaerolineaceae.
GAAACUCAAAUGAAUUGACGGGACCCGCACAAGCAGCGGAGCGUGCGGUUUAAUUCGUUUGCUACACGAAGAACCUUACCUGGGUUUGACAUAUAGGUUGUAGGGAACUGAAAGGGACCGACCUUCGGGAGCCUAUACAGGUGUUGCAUGGCUGUCGUCAGCUCGUGUCGUGAGAUGUUCGGUUAAGUCCGCUAACGAGCGCAACCCUCGUCGUAUGUUAUAUGUGUCAUACGAGACUGCCGGUAAAAGCCGGAGGAAGGUGAGGAUGAUGUCAAGUCAGCAUGACCUUUAUAUCCAGGGCUACACACACGCUACAAUGGUCUGUACAAUGGGUAGCCAAGCCGCGAGGCGGAGCCAAUCCUGAAAGCAGGCCUCAGUUCAGAUUGCAGUCUGCAACUCGACUGCAUGAAGCCGGAGUUGCUAGUAACCGCAGGUCAGCAAUACUGCGGUGAAUACGUUCCCGGGGCUU